Colossoma macropomum (tambaqui) is the source of this 398-nucleotide non-coding RNA. NCBI's taxonomy places the organism in Eukaryota, Metazoa, Chordata, Actinopteri, Characiformes, Serrasalmidae. The record is from the annotation of a RefSeq genome assembly.
GUAACGUAAAGCACACACAGCAAAACUGAACUAUAAUCAAUUGCUGUUCAGCCAUGGCACGUCUUGGUGGAUGGUGGCUUCCUUUUCUCAUGUUAGCAGGUUACACAUCUGGUGAGGGAAUAGAACCAAGUUCUUCCACUGUCAGUGUUCUACAGGGAGACUCUGUUACUCUGUCCUGCAGUUACAAUGGAUCUACUACAACUGAUGAACUGCUGUGGUAUCGUCAGUAUUCCAGAUCCAGGCCUGAGUUCCUGAUCUUGGUCAAUGAAGCUAACUUUACACAAAAAGCUGUUCCUCCAGUUGCUGGAGUGUCUGCAAAUGUAAAUGAAGAGAAAACGCGUGUGGAUCUGUUGAUCUCCUCUGCUGCAGUAUCAGACUCUGCACUCUACUACUGUGCU